Rana temporaria (common frog) is the source of this 294-nucleotide long non-coding RNA. RefSeq lists it as uncharacterized. The transcript has 3 exons. NCBI's taxonomy places the organism in Eukaryota, Metazoa, Chordata, Amphibia, Anura, Ranidae. The record is from RefSeq and is a predicted model, not a curated record.
UGACUCUGAGAGCUGAGCAUUGGUAGAGCUUUUCCCAUCUGACAAGGAAACUACAUUGCGAAGGAUUCAGCAAACAUUCAUAUUCUAUUCUAUACUGAUCAGACUGGGUUAAAUACGAACGCAUUUUGCAUAUGAUCAUUGUAAUUCAAAAUGACUGAUUAUGGUGCAGCUCACGUCUUCUGAGUGAAGCAAACUAUCUUGCAACAUUGUGUCUACUGGGUAUCUUGGUGGAUCUAGUUCAAGUCUCAUGCCAAGUUUUGCCUAGGUGAAGCAGAUUCCGAAGGCCACAUAAGA